This is a long non-coding RNA of Talpa occidentalis (Iberian mole), 387 nucleotides long. RefSeq lists it as uncharacterized. The record is from RefSeq and is a predicted model, not a curated record. NCBI's taxonomy places the organism in Eukaryota, Metazoa, Chordata, Mammalia, Eulipotyphla, Talpidae. The transcript has 3 exons.
GGUGCCCUCCCAUUGGGCAUACAAAACUUCCAAACUGAUCCUAUCAGCCACCACUACCUGCUUCGCUUCAGAGGACAGCACACCAAAGCGAGUAAUAAAAUGGUACCGCCUCCUUAUGAAGACUGAAAGUAGCCAUGGAAGAAAAUGGACUUGAGAGAGGAAAAGCUGUCCCUUGACCGGCCACUGCAAAGACUCCAUCAGAAACGCUCUUUCACGGCUCCUGGCAGAUGACAUUGGAGGCUGCGGGGGUAUUUACUUUAGGGUGACUGCUAAGGAUGGUGCUGGGCAGGUCGAUUCACCCCUGUAAAUUUUGGGCUGGUCAUCCAAAGAAUCUGUCCUUUUUGUUGCCUUGUUUGAAAAUACAGGCCUUUAAAAUGACACCCUUAU